This 499-nucleotide ribosomal RNA is filed under the name Enterobacter sp. NBP06. Its description in RNAcentral is "bacterial SSU rRNA". It matches the Rfam family "Bacterial small subunit ribosomal RNA", at positions 39 to 524 of the family's 1533-position model. The record is from RNAcentral. Lineage: Bacteria; Pseudomonadati; Pseudomonadota; Gammaproteobacteria; Enterobacterales; Enterobacteriaceae.
CCGUGAGGCGGUCUAGCACAUGCAAGUCGAACGGUAACAGGAAGCAGCUUGCUGCUUUGCUGACGAGUGGCGGACGGGUGAGUAAUGUCUGGGAAACUGCCUGAUGGAGGGGGAUAACUACUGGAAACGGUAGCUAAUACCGCAUAACGUCGCAAGACCAAAGAGGGGGACCUUCGGGCCUCUUGCCAUCGGAUGUGCCCAGAUGGGAUUAGCUAGUAGGUGGGGUAACGGCUCACCUAGGCGACGAUCCCUAGCUGGUCUGAGAGGAUGACCAGCCACACUGGAACUGAGACACGGUCCAGACUCCUACGGGAGGCAGCAGUGGGGAAUAUUGCACAAUGGGCGCAAGCCUGAUGCAGCCAUGCCGCGUGUAUGAAGAAGGCCUUCGGGUUGUAAAGUACUUUCAGCGGGGAGGAAGGCGACAAGGUUAAUAACCUUGUCGAUUGACGUUACCCGCAGAAGAAGCACCGGCUAACUCCGUGCCAGCACCCGCGGUAAA